This 372-nucleotide ribosomal RNA is filed under the name uncultured bacterium. Its description in RNAcentral is "bacterial SSU rRNA". It matches the Rfam family "Bacterial small subunit ribosomal RNA", at positions 527 to 896 of the family's 1533-position model. The record is from RNAcentral.
GGGGGGAGCAAGCGUUGUUCGGAUUUACUGGGCGUAAAGGGCGCGUAGGCGGUAGCACAAGUCAGUUGUGAAAUCUCCGGGCUUAACUCGGAAAGGUCAGCUGAUACUGUGCGACUAGAGUGCAGAAGGGGCAACUGGAAUUCUCGGUGUAGCGGUGAAAUGCGUAGAUAUCGAGAGGAACACCUGCGGCGAAGGCGGGUUGCUGGGCUGACACUGACGCUGAGGCGCGAAAGCCAGGGGAGCGAACGGGAUUAGAUACCCCGGUAGUCCUGGCCUUAAACGAUGGAUGCUUGGUGUCUGGAGUUUUAUAGUCUCCGGGUGCCGCAGCUAACGCGUUAAGCAUCCCGCCUGGGGAGUACGGUCGCAAGACUG